CGGAUUUUAGCUUAAUAUAAAGCACAUUAUUUACAUUAAUGAGAUAAUUAAUAUUUUUUCUGA
RNAcentral lists this transfer RNA (63 nucleotides) under Krisna furcata. Its description in RNAcentral is "tRNA-Val". Lineage: Eukaryota; Metazoa; Arthropoda; Insecta; Hemiptera; Cicadellidae. The record is from RNAcentral.